UAUUGGGAUUCGAUUAAGCCAUGCGAGUCGAGAGGGUUCGGCCCUCGGCAGACUGCUCAGUAACACGUGGGUAAUCUACCCUAAGGUGGAGAAUAACCUCGGGAAACUGAGAAUAAUACUCCAUAGGUCUAGAAUGCUGGAAUGCCCCUAGACUAAAAGUUCCGACGCCUUAGGAUGAAUCUGCGGACUAUCAGGUUGUAGUCAGGGUAAAGACCUGACUAGCCUACGACGGAUACGGGUUGUGAGAGCAAUAACCCGGAGACGAUAUCUGAGACACGAUAUCGGGCCCUACGGGGCGCAGCAGGCGCGAAACCUUCACACUGUGUGAAAACACGAUGAGGGAAUCCCAAGUGCUUGCACGUAAGUGUAAGCUGUUUUUAUGUCUAAAAAGCAUAGAGAGUAAGGGCUGGGUAAGACGGGUGCCAGCCGCCGCGGUAAUACCUGCAGCUCAAGUGGUGACCACUAUUAUUGGGCCUAAAACGUCCGUAGCCUGCUUGAUAAAUGCCUGGGUAAAUCGUAUAGCUCAACUAUACGAAUUCUGGGUAGACUGUCAAGCUUGAGACUGGGAGAAGUUAGAGGUACUCCUGGGGUAGAGGUGAAAUUCUGUAAUCCUAGGGGGACCACCAGUGGCGAAAGCGUCUGACUAGAACGGGUCUGACGGUGAGGGACGAAGCCCUGGGGCGCGAACCGGAUUAGAUACCCGGGUAGUCCAGGGUGUAAACGCUGCUUGCUUGAUGUUAGUCGGGCUCCGAGCCCGAUUAGUGUCGGAGAGAAGUUGUUAAGCAAGCUGCCUGGGAAGUACGGCCGCAAGACUGAAACUUAAAGGAAUUGGCGGGGGAGCACAGCAACGGGUGGAGCGUGCGGUUUAAUUGGAUUCAACGCCGGAAAGCUCUCCGGAGGCGACGGUUAUAUGAAAGUCAGGCUGAUGACCUUACUCGAUUUUCCGAGAGGUGGUGCAUGGCCGCCGUCAGUUCGUACCGUAAGGCGUUCUGUUAAGUCAGACAACGAGCGAGACCCUCACCUCUAGUUGCCAACGGGUCCCACUGGGAUGCCGGGCACUCUAGGGGGACCGCUGUCGCUAAGGCAGGGGAAGGAGAGGGCGACGGUAGGUCCGUAUGCCCCGAAUCUCCCGGGCUACACGCGGGCUACAAUGCGCAGGACAGAGAGAUGCGCUCCCGAAAGGGAAAGCUAAACCCUAAACCUGCGCUCAGUUCGGAUCGAGGGCUGAAACUCGCCCUCGUGAAGCUGGAAUCCCUAGUAAUUGCGUGCCAACAUCGCGCGGUGAAUACGUCCCUGCU
This 1298-nucleotide ribosomal RNA is filed under the name uncultured archaeon. RNAcentral describes it as "bacterial SSU rRNA". It matches the Rfam family "Archaeal small subunit ribosomal RNA", at positions 31 to 1334 of the family's 1478-position model. The record is from RNAcentral.